Molecule: long non-coding RNA, 313 nt
Organism: Lutra lutra (Eurasian river otter)
Lineage: Eukaryota; Metazoa; Chordata; Mammalia; Carnivora; Mustelidae
Exons: 3
Source: RefSeq, a predicted model, not a curated record
CCCCAGUUGUUGCCACCACGAGCCAACUGCCCCUUGUAGAUGUCCCACCACAUUCCCUCGGGAGGGUCAUGAAAUUCUUGCCCUGGGCUCAGAUGAAGCGGAAUUAGCCUCUGGACCCCUCCUGGUGCAAGCGACAUGGCCCUGGGUGAGCUCUGGCAUGUCUGCAAGCUUCAGUUGCUUCAUCCAUAAAGUGCAGAAAUCAGAUCAAUGCCAGGAAGAGAGACCCUGCUGCCACUCCUGAUGUGUGUGCAUCCUCUGCAAGCAAGGGCCAGCGUAGGCACGUUGACAUUACAUUUCAUGGUCUGAAUAAAGC